CAGUCGCCGCGGUAACACGAAGGGGGCUAGCGUUGCUCGGAAUUACUGGGCGUAAAGGGAGCGUAGGCGGAUCGUUUAGUCAGGGGUGAAAUCCCGGGGCUCAACCUCGGAACUGCCUUUGAUACUGGCGAUCUUGAGUACGGGAGAGGUGAGUGGAAUUUCCGGUGUAGCGGUGAAAUGCGUAGAUAUCGGAAGGAACACCUGUGGCGAAAGCGGCUCACUGGACCAUUUCCGACGCUGAUGCACGAAAGCUAGGGGAGCAAACAGGAUUAGAUACCCCAGUAGUCCCUGUCUCUUAUAC
RNAcentral lists this ribosomal RNA (301 nucleotides) under uncultured bacterium. RNAcentral describes it as "partial 16S ribosomal RNA". It matches the Rfam family "Bacterial small subunit ribosomal RNA", at positions 509 to 807 of the family's 1533-position model. The record is from RNAcentral.